RNAcentral lists this ribosomal RNA (681 nucleotides) under Gymnopilus spectabilis. RNAcentral's name for it is "eukaryotic LSU rRNA". The stretch from base 271 to 424 matches the Rfam family "5.8S ribosomal RNA". The record is from RNAcentral. Lineage: Eukaryota; Fungi; Basidiomycota; Agaricomycetes; Agaricales; Galerinaceae.
UUUCCGUAGGUGAACCUGCGGAAGGAUCAUUAUUGAAUAAACUUGAUGUGGUUGUAGCUGACCCUCGCAAGAGAGUAUGUGCUCGCCCGUCACCUUUAUCUUUCCACCUGUGCACUCUUUGUAGAUUUGAAUUGUAGUUUUCCGAGGCAACUCGGUUGAGAGGAAUGUCAUUCGUGGCUUUCCUUGUUAAUACGUUCAAGUCUAUGUUUUCAUAUACUCCAAAAAUAUAACAGAAUGUAUCAAUGGGCCUUGUGCCUAUAAACUUUAUACAACUUUCAGCAACGGAUCUCUUGGCUCUCGCAUCGAUGAAGAACGCAGCGAAAUGCGAUAAGUAAUGUGAAUUGCAGAAUUCAGUGAAUCAUCGAAUCUUUGAACGCACCUUGCGCCCCUUGGUAUUCCGAGGGGCAUGCCUGUUUGAGUGUCAUUUAAUUCUCAGCCUUUAUUAGCUUUUGCUUUUAAUGGUCUGGAUGUGGGGGUCUUUUGCUGGUUUCGCAAGAAAUCUGCUUCCCUUAAAUGUAUUAGCUGGUGCCCUGCGUGGACUGUCUACUGGUGUGAUAAUUAUCUACGCCGUUAGAUGUCUGCUUUAAAUGGGAUGCGCUGCUUCUAAUCGUCCUUUCAGGACAAUUAUUGACCAUUUUGACCUCAAAUCAGGUAGGACUACCCGCUGAACUUAAGCAUAUC